CCGGCACAGAGCGCUCUGCUGUUCAGGACGCAGGUGCCCUGGGAGGGAGCGAAGAGCAGCUUCCGAGAGCCGCGCCCAGGCGCCCACUCCUUCACUCCUGGGGCGGACGUGCGGAAGGUGAUGAGGCCGUAGAAGCAGGCGGGCUGCCCCGUCUGCCCGCCCCGUUACAGCGGCAGCUUUCAGAGGCAGGGGGGCUGUGGCAGCAGCAGGCAGAAGGAGGCAGGCCCGGGCUCUGCCUUAUUACCAACAGAUGCUUGUGACAGAUCUAUGUGUAGCCUCUCCACGCGCUGUCCUGCAUUUCCAAGAGAUGGUGUCCAGGAGGAGGUAUCUGUCAAGUAGAAGACAAAAGGGCUAUUGGCCAGGGGGCUGGACACUGAGGAGAAGAGCCCACGUCUGGGGUCUGGACGCCGCAGGGGCAGCACCAGGUGCCCAGCGGGUUAAGAACGCCUGGCCCCGCUCCCACCUUCCCUUCCCCUCUGUCUCUCUCGUGUUAGAGAAGGGGUCAAAUGAGAACAAACAAUUUAAACCUCCUUCUCUCCAGAUUUCCCUUAACAAUAAACUUGUUUUAUAUGAAAUAUAGAGGCAAGAAUAGAGAAAAAUAUAAUAAUCCAG
RNAcentral lists this long non-coding RNA (612 nucleotides) under Equus asinus (donkey). RNAcentral's name for it is "lncRNA (ENSEASG00005036406.1)". The record is from RNAcentral. Lineage: Eukaryota; Metazoa; Chordata; Mammalia; Perissodactyla; Equidae.